CUUAAAAAAAAAAAAUCAAACCACUGGUUUUUUCAUUUUCUUGUGUAUAUCACAUUUUUCCUUGGCAAUAUCACCUUCCUCAAUCUCCUUAACCAGCGCCGCCAAUCUUCCCUGCACAUCUUAACGUGCGCAGCAACCAUGGCUCUGAGAUGGCGAUGCUAAAAAGCGCCGGGGGGAGAUGGGUUGUGCAUUCGGACUCAGAAGGUGGACCCACUCUAUUGCCCAACCUCCGCCGCUGAAUCCUCCGAUGAGUCAAACCACCGUCUCAUCACCGUUGGUCUUACCUGAACACGACCAUGACUCCAUUAACAACAACAUUGGAUUCCAAUUCCCAAGAGGAAGGUUUCUCCGCACAAGAGAGGCAUAAGGAAUGGACCAAAGGCUUUGAAACCUGUUCCAGUGAUCAUCCGCUGCAAGUAAGGACUAUGCUCCUAUUAUUUGCAAUUGACAUUUUAUGUUUCCCAUAUAAAUUUAUAGAUGCAUGACUCCAUUACUUUAUCUUGAAAAUUUUUCAAAACUUCUUACUACAAUGACUCUGGUCAGCCUGUGAAGUCACUUCCGCACAAAGCUUUGGUUCGGUGUGUAUUUAUAAAACAAAGCCUUUAAAGUUCGCAAGUCUUAAAGUUCAUAUGUUGUUAUAUCUUAUCUCUCAAAAAACAAAAUGUUCAUGUAUGUCCUUGAAUCGACUAUUGGAGCAGCUAUUUUUGUGAACUUC
Long non-coding RNA from Camellia sinensis, 715 nucleotides. RefSeq lists it as uncharacterized. The record is from RefSeq and is a predicted model, not a curated record. NCBI's taxonomy places the organism in Eukaryota, Viridiplantae, Streptophyta, Magnoliopsida, Ericales, Theaceae.